UGCACUCCAGCCUAGGUGACAGAGUAAGACCCUGCCUCAAAAAAUUAAUUAAUUAAUUAAAUAAAAUAAGAAAUCUAUUCUGGAAAUCAGUCAUCAAACACCACAAUUUUGGGAAUAUAGUUUGGACGACCACUUCCUUUUCUGGAAACCAUUUUUAGAAUAAGAAAAUGAGCCAGAAUACACCUUGCCAAAUAAGUUUCCCCAAAUCACAAUUAUGAUUUGGGGAAUGAACACAAGAAUGAACAAAUUAAGUCAUAAAUGUAUGCAAUCAUUUUUGAAUGUCUUUGCAGAGAAAUAUUCAAAGUGGUAAGAUGGAUUGAACUGCCAACCAAAAUUGUCAAUCUUUAUUUCAGUCUUCACUAUUAAGCUAAAAAGGUAAUUUUUCUCUUGAAUGAUGUGAAGAAUUGAAUUUCUUUCAACUGUUCCAAAAAUCUAUUUGCGGAAAUAUUUUUAUGCUCCAGCAUGUCUUAAGAGUUUAACAUUUUUGGAUGCUGAGUUAUAACAGAUUCCUGCCUGCCACCCUGUGGGGCAGGCAAGAUGAUAUUAUACAUCUCUUAUAAAACAAAGAUACAGACUCAGAAUGGCUAAUAGGAUAUUGCUGAGGCCUGCCAGAUUUGUUGUGGUUAUUCUUGGUCUGCUGCCCAUCUAUAAAAAAUUUAGAAUCCAUCGGUAAAGUUGCACAACAAAUUCUGUUAGGAUUUUGUUGGAAUUACACUGAACCUACAGAUCGGUUUGGGAAUAACUGACAUCUUUACAAUACUGAGUCUUCCCAUCCAAGGAAACAGUAUAUUAUAUUCCAUCUAAUUAUGUCAUUUGGAAUUGUCUUCCAAUAAAUUUUUAUGGCUUUUCUGCA
Molecule: long non-coding RNA, 853 nt
Filed under: Homo sapiens (human)
Lineage: Eukaryota; Metazoa; Chordata; Mammalia; Primates; Hominidae
Description: HSALNT0342057
Source: RNAcentral